GACGAACGCUGGCGGCGUGCUUAACACAUGCAAGUCGAACGGAAAGGCCCUGCUUUUGUGGGGUGCUCGAGUGGCGAACGGGUGAGUAACACGUGAGUAACCUGCCCUCGACUUUGGGAUAACUUCAGGAAACGGGGGCUAAUACCGGAUAGGAGCUCCUGCUGCAUGGUGGGGGUUGGAAAUUUUCGGCGGUUGGGGAUGGACUCGCGGCUUAUCAGCUUGUUGGUGGGGUAGUGGCUUACCAAGGCUUUGCCGGGUGGCCGGCCUGAGAGGGUGACCGGCCACAUUGGGACUGCGAUACGGCCCAGACUCCUACGGGAGGCAGCAGUGGGGAAUAUUGCCCAAUGGGCGGAAGCCUGAUGCAGCAACGCCGCGUGCGGGAUGACGGCCUUCGGGUUGUAAACCGCUUUCGCCUGUGACGAAGCGUGAGUGACGGUAAUGGGUAAAGAAGCACCGGCUAACUACGUG
This 468-nucleotide ribosomal RNA is filed under the name uncultured bacterium. RNAcentral describes it as "partial 16S ribosomal RNA". It matches the Rfam family "Bacterial small subunit ribosomal RNA", at positions 28 to 507 of the family's 1533-position model. The record is from RNAcentral.